RNAcentral lists this long non-coding RNA (1292 nucleotides) under Homo sapiens (human). Its description in RNAcentral is "non-protein coding lnc-CACNB4-2:1". Lineage: Eukaryota; Metazoa; Chordata; Mammalia; Primates; Hominidae. The record is from RNAcentral.
UUAAUUUAAAACUGGAUUGAUGAUCAUUAUGGUAUGAUAUGAUAUUAAAUGUAUGCAUUGUUUUGAUGCUAUAUUUAGUAGACAGGUGGUAGACCCUGUCCUUAAGGAGCUGUUGUCCUGAAAAUAAGUAGGGCACAUAUAAAUGUCCAAAGAGACCUAAACCAUUUUUGCUGUUUCCUGAGGAUACAUGUCUUUUGCCCAUAACUCUUCUUUACUUUUGUCCUGUUUGUCUUAAAGGUAGAGAAUAAGGUAGACAUUGCCAGGGAAGCCCUGGCACCCUUAUACCAUUUCUUUUUCAGCUUUUUCUCUCAAGUUUCUUUCUUAGGAAGGAGUUGGAUGAGUCAUCCAGGGAUGAGGGUAAAGAAGGUUAUCAUUCUUAUAGUGACUUUAAGUGAUGGUGGGCUUCCCUUCAAGGGAGUGUAUAGUUUUCUGUGGCUCUACAGCAAGACAUCUUUACUGAGUAAUAGGCAACCUGGAUAGAUUGCAAUCCACUACUUAAAAGUACACCACCUGUCUUUCUCCCAGCUCUCUGUAAAAAUAAAAGAACAGCCAAACAAAUCAAAUUUCCAUAGAUUUGGCACUGUGAUUUGACAGCUCUCCACUUUUAGUUCUAAGAUGGAUAGAUUGGUAGAAUCAGAUUGCUUCCCAAAGAAGUAUAGUUUCUUUCCUUUAAGUCUUUUAACAUUUUAAAUAUAUUAUUAGGCACAUGUUUGGGAGAUGAGUGAAUCAACUUUUUCUUUCUGAUUAAUAGACAUAUCCAGUUCAAUCACAUGGUGGAAACUAUAUGGGUCAGAGCAUUCACCAAGUAACUGUUGCCCAAAGCUAUAGCCUAGGACCCGAUCAAAUUGGUCCACUGAGAUCUCUGCCUCCAAAUGUGAAUUCCUCAGUGACAGCACAGCCUGCUCAAACUUCAUAUUUAAGCACUGGACAAGACACUGUUUCCAAUCCUACUUAUAUGAACCAGAACUCUAACCUACAGUCAGCUACUGGUACAACUGCUUACACACAGCAAAUGGGGAUGUCUGUGGAUAUGUCAUCUUAUCAGAACACUACUUCCAAUUUGCCUCAACUGGCAGGCUUUCCGGUGACAGUUCCAGCUCAUCCAGUUGCACAGCAGCACACAAAUUACCAUCAGCAGCCUCUCCUUUAGAAACAAAUCAAGCAUUUUCUUGAAAGCCUUCAUAAGUGUAUUAUUCAGUCCUUGUGAUACCAACCUGAAAAUAUUAAAACUUUUUUCCCUCUCAACUCAAAAGGACCAUGAAUAAAUAAAGCACAAAAACCUCUCUUAUUCU